RNAcentral lists this ribosomal RNA (497 nucleotides) under uncultured bacterium. RNAcentral's name for it is "partial 16S ribosomal RNA". It matches the Rfam family "Bacterial small subunit ribosomal RNA", at positions 28 to 507 of the family's 1533-position model. The record is from RNAcentral.
GAUGAACGCUGGCGGCGUGCCUAAUACAUGCAAGUCGAGCGAACAGACGAGGAGUUUGCUCCUCUGACGUUAGCGGCGGACGGGUGAGUAACACGUGGAUAACCUACCUAUAAGACUGGGAUAACUUCGGGAAACCGGAGCUAAUACCGGAUAAUAUAUUGAACCGCAUGGUUCAUUAGUGAAAGACGGUUUUGCUGUCACUUAUAGAUGGAUCCGCGCCGCAUUAGCUAGUUGGUAAGGUAACGGCUUUCCAAGGCUACGAUGCGUAGCCGACCUGAGAGGGUGAUCGGCCACACUGGAACUGAGACACGGUCCAGACUCCUACGGGAGGCAGCAGUAGGGAAUGUUCCGCAAUGGGCGAAAGCCUGACGGAGCAACGCCGCGUGAGUGAUGAAGGUCUUCGGAUCGUAAAACUCUGUUAUUAGGGAAGAACAAAUGUGUAAGUAACUAUGGACGUCUUGACGGUACCUAAUCAGAAAGCCACGGCUAACUACGUG